GGUAAGUCCAAAUCGAUUAUCGGCCCACGGUACCCCCGGACCCCUGACUCAUCCCAGAACCGUGGCCUAUAGCACACCAAUUUAGCCCCAAAAUGCCCCUGUUCAUGCCGUUUUGCCUGUUUGACCAUCCAAAUGGCCCCACCUACACAAAUAGGGAGUAAUAGGACACUCCCAGCCUGUUUGGCAUGCUCAUAUAAAUUCUCAGCCUAUGGUACCCCUGGACCCC
RNAcentral lists this long non-coding RNA (226 nucleotides) under Capsicum annuum. RNAcentral's name for it is "long non-coding RNA (CANN_LNC007433)". Lineage: Eukaryota; Viridiplantae; Streptophyta; Magnoliopsida; Solanales; Solanaceae. The record is from RNAcentral.